This is a non-coding RNA of Acanthosepion pharaonis, 89 nucleotides long. NCBI's taxonomy places the organism in Eukaryota, Metazoa, Mollusca, Cephalopoda, Sepiida, Sepiidae. The record is from the annotation of a GenBank genome assembly.
CAAAACACCGGUUCCCGUACGAUCACCGAAGUUAAGAAGCGUCGAUCCUGGUCAGUACAAAGAUGAGUGACUUGGGAAUCCUAAGUGUU